RNAcentral lists this long non-coding RNA (229 nucleotides) under Capsicum annuum. Its description in RNAcentral is "long non-coding RNA (CANN_LNC009793)". The record is from RNAcentral. Lineage: Eukaryota; Viridiplantae; Streptophyta; Magnoliopsida; Solanales; Solanaceae.
GGAUAUGUCUAUCUUCUUAAUCAACAUUACAGUUCUACUCUUCUUAACCAUAUUAUCUGACACCCUAGACAUGAACUUACUCAUUCUGUACCUACUAUGUACUACUACAUGGGGAGAAUACCUGAUCAAGGAACUCCUGUGGAUCCUCUUCUGACUUAUAUCCUGAGAAUAGGGGAGAAUUCAUUUGGGUAAAGUCCCAAAUCCUUGAUACAGUAGUAUUGGCCACGGG